CUUGCUCUGUUGCCCAGGCUGGAGUUCAGUGAUGCGAUCUUGGCUCACUGCAACCUCCACUUCUCUGGUAUAAGUGAUUCUCCUGCCGCAGCCUCCAGCGACAGUGCCAGACUUCGUCUCAAAAAAAACCCAGAAAACAAAAAGACAAAAACCUUUCAGAAUACUUCCUGAAUGAUCUGCCAGAGCCUGUUUUACAGCUUUUUUUCUGGAGGCGGAGGGGACAUGGUCUUGCUCUGGAGUAGCUUGGAUUACAGGUAUGUGCCACGACACCUGGCUAAUUUUUGUAUUUUGAGUCGAGACGGGUUUUGCCAUGUUGGCCACGCUGGUCUCAAACUCCUAGGCUGAAGUGAUCGGCCCACCUCGGCCUUCCAAAGUGCUGGGAUUACAGGUGUGAGCCACAGCACCCAGCUGAAUAUACAUUUUUCUAAGGAAGAUAAACAACUGAGCAAGGGGACCUGAAAAGAUGCUGGACAUCAUUAAGUAAAUGCUAAACAAAAAGGCAAGGAAAUACCACUUCAAACCCACUAGGAUGGGUAGAAUGAAAAAGUGAGAUAAUAACACAUGUCAAGGAUAUGGAGAACUUGGAACCCUCAUACACUGCUGGUGAGAAUGGAAAAUAGAGCAGCCGCUUUGCUUUUUUGUUUGUUUUUUAAAUUUUUCUUUUUUAAGAGAUGGGGUUUUGCUCUGUAGCCCAGGCUGUCAAGGCUCACUGCACUCUCAAACUUCUGGAUUCAAGAAAUCCUCCCAUCUCAGCCUCCUGAGUAGCUGAGAACACAGGUGUGCACCACCAUGCCCAAUUAAUUUUUCUUUUUCUUUUAGAGAUGGGGUUUUGCUCUUUUGUCAGGGCUGGUCAUGAACUUUUGGGCUCAAGCUAUCCUCCUGCCUUGGCCUUCCAAAAUGCUGGGAUUACAGGCAUGAGCCACCGUGCCCUGCCAGGAGUUUCUUUUUUGAGGUAAUGAAAAUGUUCUAGGCCUGGCGCGG
Molecule: long non-coding RNA, 981 nt
Filed under: Homo sapiens (human)
Lineage: Eukaryota; Metazoa; Chordata; Mammalia; Primates; Hominidae
Source: RNAcentral